UAGGGAAUCUUCGGCAAUGGGGGCAACCCUGACCGAGCAACGCCGCGUGAGUGAAGAAGGUUUUCGGAUCGUAAAGCUCUGUUGUAAGUCAAGAACGAGUGUGAGAGUGGAAAGUUCACACUGUGACGGUAGCUUACCAGAAAGGGACGGCUAACUACGUGCCAGCAGCCGCGGUAAUACCUUAGGUCCCGAGCGUUAUCCGGAUUUGGGGGGCGUAAAGCGAGCGCAGGCGGUUAGAUAAGUCUGAAGUUAAAGGCUGUGGCUUAACCAUAGUACGCUUUGGAAACUGUUUAACUUGAGUGCAGAAGGGGAGAGUGGAAUUCCAUGUGUAGCGGUGAAAUGCGUAGAUAUAUGGAGGAACACCGGUGGCGAAAGCGGCUCUCUGGUCUGUAACUGACGCUGAGGCUCGAAAGCGUGGGGAGCAAACAGGAUUAGAUACCCUGGUAGUCCACGCCGUANCGAUGAGUGCUAGGUGUUGGGUCCUUUCCGGGACUCAGUGCCGCAGCUNACGCAUUAAGCACUCCGCCUGGCGAGUACGACCGCAGGGUU
RNAcentral lists this ribosomal RNA (549 nucleotides) under uncultured bacterium. RNAcentral describes it as "bacterial SSU rRNA". It matches the Rfam family "Bacterial small subunit ribosomal RNA", at positions 355 to 895 of the family's 1533-position model. The record is from RNAcentral.